UCGAGAAUCUUCCGCAAUGGGCGAAAGCCUGACGGAGCGACGCCGCGUGUAGGAUGAAGGCCCUCGGGUUGUAAACUACUGUCACGGGUUAUGAAUGUGCAUAUGUUAGCAGCGUGUGUAUUGACGUAAGCCCGAAAGGAAGCACCGGCUAACUCUGUGCCAGCAGCCGCGGUAAUACAGAGGGUGCAAACGUUGUUCGGAAUUACUGGGCAUAAAGCGCGCGUAGGCGGCGACGUAAGUGUAGGGUGAAAUCCCACGGCUCACCCGUGUGAAUUGCCCCGCAUACUGCGUUGCUUGAGUGUGGUAGGGGAGAGCGGAACUCCUGGUGGAGCGGUGAAAUGCGUAGAUAUCAGGAGGAACACCGGUGGCGUAGGCGGCUCUCUGGUCCAUAACUGACGCUGAAGUGCGAAAGCUAGGGUAGCGAACGGGAUUAGAUACCCAAGUAGUCCCUGAGCGGGCUGGCAAGGCGCAU
RNAcentral lists this ribosomal RNA (472 nucleotides) under uncultured bacterium. RNAcentral describes it as "bacterial SSU rRNA". It matches the Rfam family "Bacterial small subunit ribosomal RNA", at positions 355 to 825 of the family's 1533-position model. The record is from RNAcentral.